This 497-nucleotide ribosomal RNA is filed under the name uncultured bacterium. RNAcentral's name for it is "partial 16S ribosomal RNA". It matches the Rfam family "Bacterial small subunit ribosomal RNA", at positions 28 to 507 of the family's 1533-position model. The record is from RNAcentral.
GAUGAACGCUGGCGGCGUGCCUAAUACAUGCAAGUCGAGCGAGCAGACUAGGAGCUUGCUCCUCUGACGUUAGCGGCGGACGGGUGAGUAACACGUGGAUAACCUACCUAUAAGACUGGGAUAACUUCGGGAAACCGGAGCUAAUACCGGAUAAUAUAUUGAACCGCAUGGUUCAAUAGUGAAAGACGGUUUUGCUGUCACUUAUAGAUGGAUCCGCGCCGCAUUAGCUAGUUGGUAAGGUAACGGCUUACCAAGGCAACGAUGCGUAGCCGACCUGAGAGGGUGAUCGGCCACACUGGAACUGAGCCACGGUCCAGCCUCCUACGGAAGGCACCAGUAGGGAAUCUUCCGCAAUGGGCGAAAGCCUGACGGAGCAACGCCGCGGGAGUGAUGAAGGUCUUCGGAUCGUAAAACUCUGUUAUUAGGGAAGAACACAUGUGUAAGUAACUAUGCACGUCUUGACGGUACCUAAUCAGAAGGCCACGGCUAACUACGUG